RNAcentral lists this long non-coding RNA (1839 nucleotides) under Fragaria vesca (wild strawberry). RNAcentral's name for it is "long non-coding RNA (FVES_LNC002619)". Lineage: Eukaryota; Viridiplantae; Streptophyta; Magnoliopsida; Rosales; Rosaceae. The record is from RNAcentral.
AGCUUUUAAGUUGCACCAUGAAAAACAGUCAUGGUUGCCAUUCCCUUACAGGCCUAUAUAUAGGAGCACAAGCCCCUCUACUUUUAAUCUCAAUGUGCCUUUUGUGCAUUAUCAUGGAUUCUAGUUUUAAAACCACUGCUGUCAUUCUCUUACUCUUUAUAGGCAUUUGUGCAGGUGAGCAUUUUCCCUUUAUGUGCUACAAUCAGUUAAUGCAAUCAAAGUUGAAGUUAUAUAUAUUUCUAUUCUUCAUGAUUUGCAGCAGGAAGAGAUGCCAAAGGCUUCAGGAAUGUUGUAAACCCUACCAAGCCAUCAACAGAGGUAAUUCUUGAAUAGGGGAAAACUAAUGAUCCGUUCAGUUACAGCAUGAAAUAAUGUCUAUAUAGUGAAAUGCAUAAUGUCUAUCUAAAGAAAUGCAUGCUGGAAAGUCACAUAUCUAUAUGUGUAUGUACUACUCGACGUUUUAUAGGGUAAAACUAAAAAUUAUACAAGCCUGAAGCUAGAGGGAUCAUUGAUACUUAAAACAUGUGUAUAUAUACAGCAGUUCUCUCAUGAUGGUGAUGAAUGUGAGACAUCCGCUGUGUACACCCAUUAUAUGCAAAAGUUAAUCAAAUUUACUGAGUCUAAGACACUUACUGUCUGCUUUGGAUAUUCUGCUGCUUACAGCGUGUUGUGUUUUUGUUGAAGGUGAUUGUGGAAAUGAAGAUGAGAGAUCUGACAGAAAUUGAUGCUUUUUUGGACUAUGAAAAGCCAAUACCAAAUCCUAGGCAUGAAAAGGGGAGGCCAGGUGGUGGUGCUAACAAGUGACUGCCUUUCCUUCCUUCAUUUCCCUACUAGCUGAUGUAACACCAAGAGGAGUAUGAGGAAGGUUAAUGUUAAAAUCAUUAUAUCCUAAAUAAAAUAAAGGUGAGAUGUUAAGUAGAAAUGUGCAAUUUCCUAUAUUGGAUGGAGAAACAGCACAUAUCAUAUGUCUAGCUAUCUAAUAAAGUUAUCAUCCAACAGAGAAGAAUGAGGGUAGUGACAAGAUACUAUUUUCUGGGGAGAAACAUGAGUAAGGGUUAAACUGUUAAGUGAGCAGGAUGGCUUCAGUAAUGUAUUAAUGUACUAUCAGUUGAUCACUUAUGAUUUUCUUUACAAGAUGACUGACCUAUAUACAUACAUACACAUAACACACACACACACACAAACUUGUAUCCUCUUAAGAGUUGGCAAAUUCUUUGCAUAUUAAUCAUGCCUGCCACUAAUUAAACAAUAAGAAAUAUACCGACAAAAUCAUUGCUAAUCUAGAUGCUAAUUAACCUACUUGGAAGAAUGUUUUACCAUAUGUUUCUGAUAGCUAUGAGUUAGCUGAGGUAGUACCACUUUGUUCUAUGAUAAGCCCUUCCAAACCACUCAGUAAGUUUCAUCAUUUACAGGAUGUGAGUGAUAAAAAGAAAGGAAAAAAGAUUAGUUAUAUAUUGUGGGCUAAGAAUUAGAUAAUGGGACUCAAAAGUCUUGUGCAAUGGAGCUGUCAAAGCCCAGAAGUCAACUCUUGAGAAAUUUCAUGUUCAUAAGAAUUCUCUGAUAACGACCACCAUUCAUAUACAUGCAUGAUGAAUUGAUGAUGAUGCAUCACAGAGUUCUUCUAAAAGCACAACAUAAUUUCCUUUGGGGAAUCCCAUGCCAAAAACACCAUUAUUUGACACACAUUUGACAAAAACAUAAACAGGGUGUUUGUCAUAUGACAGAGCAUGUUUGAUGGAGACACCCAUUUCGCAGAUAAGGUCGGUUUGGUUGCUUCACAUAUUAUGAAACUAUUGCUUCAUGAACUUUGUUUGAUAUAGUAAGGUCGGUUUGGUUUGG